Non-coding RNA from Mycena alexandri, 92 nucleotides. The record is from the annotation of a GenBank genome assembly. Lineage: Eukaryota; Fungi; Basidiomycota; Agaricomycetes; Agaricales; Mycenaceae.
GGCUCAGUAGCACAGCGGUAUGCACCUGCUGAAAUUGUAUUCGGUCGUAUAUAGUUACGCAGGAGGUCCUCGUUCGAUUCGGGGUUGGGUCA